UAGCCAGGGACAGUCACUAGAUGUCUUUUUUGUUUUUGUACAGUUGAUAUCAUGGGGGUAUGAAAGACCUCCAGAGCCCAGCAAUAGCUACUCCAGUAUCUCACUUCUCUGCGAUUUGGAAGUGGUAUAAAAACCCCCGGUUUUCCAUACGCUCAAGUGCAAGGAAAUGAAAAGAACUGCUGGUUAUGACAGCUCUUGUGACCUGGUGAUAAAUUAGCACGCAUCCGUCACUCCUGAAUGUUUCCAUAAAGUCUUGAGCACCAAAGUAACACGUAGCUGUCAGGCCCACCAACAAUCCUCCCUUCUCCGAUUGCCUGAUUCUGGAUGAUUCUCAACUCUGACUCACUCAGGAAGCCUUCCGAGAUAAAGCCGACUGGGAGUUCUCACCUCCCACAAACUUCAGUUACUAUUUAUUAUUUCUGUAUUAUUCCUCUUUCUUCCUGUACCUUUGGGUCUACCUAAUAAGAAAAAGCUAUAUCGAGAUUAAAAUUUGCCGGAGCACCCUAAAAGUAAAACUGUGAAUCCAAAUGAUGGUUGUAAGUAGAUAAACAUCUAUGUGUAAGGUAGUGUAUGGAAUGGGAAAAGUAUAAAACAAUACACACUA
Long non-coding RNA from Mesocricetus auratus (golden hamster), 604 nucleotides. RefSeq lists it as uncharacterized. The transcript has 2 exons. The record is from RefSeq and is a predicted model, not a curated record. Lineage: Eukaryota; Metazoa; Chordata; Mammalia; Rodentia; Cricetidae.